UCAUAUGGCGACUUAGACUGCAAAUUGA
Molecule: non-coding RNA, 28 nt
Filed under: Bombyx mori (domestic silkworm)
Lineage: Eukaryota; Metazoa; Arthropoda; Insecta; Lepidoptera; Bombycidae
Source: RNAcentral